GCUAGAUUUAAUUAUUAUGGGUAAAUGUUAAUAUUAUGGGAAGGCAUACACAUCAGUAGCAUACAUAUAUUGAGUUUGGUAUCUAAACUAAUGAGAAAUUUGUUUAGCUUCAUCAAGCACAAAGCAGUUGCUAAUAAUGAUGGCGAUUGAUACAGAAUGUAUAUGGAAUGGGAGCAAAAAAGAUUGAGUGACAAGCUUACCAUCAACUGGGUGUUUGUCUGCAGCUAUCACCCUCUCUGAUGCAGGAAGCAAUCAGUGUGUUAAAGAGGUUAAACCGUGAUGCCAUUUCCUUCAAUGAGAAACCAUACAGCACUUCCAAAAGCUUGGUGAACAAUUUUCCAGGUCUCAAACUUGAGGUCUUUGAUAUAUAUCAGCCUCUGUUGGAUAUGAUCUUGAGGUCCAAUGACAAUGGUAAUGUGCCCAUCCUGAAAUAUCAAGACCUCAAAGAUCCAUAAAUCCCUAAGAAAGUUCAAAUCCAGUGUUGGAACUUAUUGCAUAUAGAAGUUUUGCUCUCAAAGUGCUUGCUCGCUUGUAUGUUGGAAG
Molecule: unclassified non-coding RNA, 543 nt
Filed under: Hevea brasiliensis (rubber tree)
Lineage: Eukaryota; Viridiplantae; Streptophyta; Magnoliopsida; Malpighiales; Euphorbiaceae
Source: RNAcentral